RNAcentral lists this ribosomal RNA (465 nucleotides) under Vreelandella stevensii. Its description in RNAcentral is "partial 16S ribosomal RNA". It matches the Rfam family "Bacterial small subunit ribosomal RNA", at positions 338 to 795 of the family's 1533-position model. The record is from RNAcentral. Lineage: Bacteria; Pseudomonadati; Pseudomonadota; Gammaproteobacteria; Oceanospirillales; Halomonadaceae.
CCUACGGGGUGCAGCAGUGGGGAAUAUUGGACAAUGGGCGAAAGCCUGAUCCAGCCAUGCCGCGUGUGUGAAGAAGGCCUUCGGGUUGUAAAGCACUUUCAGUGGGGAAGAAAGCCUUGGGGCUAAUACCCUCGAGGAAGGACAUCACCCACAGAAGAAGCACCGGCUAACUCCGUGCCAGCAGCCGCGGUAAUACGGAGGGUGCGAGCGUUAAUCGGAAUUACUGGGCGUAAAGCGCGCGUAGGCGGUCUGAUAAGCCGGUUGUGAAAGCCCCGGGCUCAACCUGGGAACGGCAUCCGGAACUGUCAGGAUAGAGUGCAGGAGAGGAAGGUAGAAUUCCCGGUGUAGCGGUGAAAUGCGUAGAGAUCGGGAGGAAUACCAGUGGCGAAGGCGGCCUUCUGGACUGACACUGACGCUGAGGUGCGAAAGCGUGGGUAGCAAACAGGAUUAGAUACCCGGGUAGUC